This 490-nucleotide ribosomal RNA is filed under the name uncultured bacterium. RNAcentral describes it as "partial 16S ribosomal RNA". It matches the Rfam family "Bacterial small subunit ribosomal RNA", at positions 30 to 507 of the family's 1533-position model. The record is from RNAcentral.
AUUGAACGCUGGCGGCAGGCCUAACACAUGCAAGUCGAACGGUAACAGGAAGAAGCUUGCUUCUUUGCUGACGAGUGGCGGACGGGUGAGUAAUGUCUGGGAAACUGCCUGAUGGAGGGGGAUAACUACUGGAAACGGUAGCUAAUACCGCAUAACGUCGCAAGACCAAAGAGGGGGACCUUCGGGCCUCUUGCCGUCGGAUGUGCCCAGAUGGGAUUAGCUAGUAGGUGGGGUAACGGCUCACCUAGGCGACGAUCCCUAGCUGGUCUGAGAGGAUGACCAGCCACACUGGAAGUGAGACACGGUCCAGACUCCUACGGGAGGCAGCAGUGGGGAAUAUUGCACAAUGGGCGCAAGCCUGAUGCAGCCAUGCCGCGUGUAUGAAGAAGGCCUUCGGGUUGUAAAGUACUUUCAGCGGGGAGGAAGGGAGUAAAGUUAAUACCUUUACUCAUUGACGUUACCCGCAGAAGAAGCACCGGCUAACUCCGUG